This 2232-nucleotide long non-coding RNA is filed under the name Olea europaea (common olive). Its description in RNAcentral is "long non-coding RNA (OEUR_LNC009967)". The record is from RNAcentral. Lineage: Eukaryota; Viridiplantae; Streptophyta; Magnoliopsida; Lamiales; Oleaceae.
CCCCCUCUUACCUCAAGAAAUACAACUGAACGAAACAAAGAAAUCGGCAUAAUAGAAAAGUUGGCGAUAUUUAUCUUCUUUACAUUAAUAAGGAACGAGAAAGUAUUACAAAGAUAUAAUUCCAUUUUCGCGAGAAUAUCAUAAGUCUGAUAACAUAAGCAUGACUUAAUUAGGUAAAAAUAAUCCACUUAAAACUCUGUAAUCCAAAUAUUUCACGAAAUUACAUAAGCCAGAUGGUCCAGAAAACACUUACAAAACACCUGAAAUAUAAAUUCAAUGUUACUUGUACAUGGAUUCUAUCACUGCGUCAAAGAUUAAAUUAAACAUAAAAAUCCAUACCACAUAGUAGCACCAUCUGAUGUUUCAUGACUGAUCAGCAGUAGAUUGUUCUAGUAGCAGCUUUAAAUUUAGCAUCGUAUUCAUAUGGUUGCUGCAGAAAUAAAGACAAUUUCUCAUCCAUAAAUGACAAAAAAAAAUAUAAAUAAAUAUAUCUAUGGUAAUAAAACAACUGCAAAAUGAGCAAAUAUUGCUGUUAAUUGAUAAUACAACAAAGAAAUGGACAGUUAGAAGUGUAGCCUUUUUAACCUGAGAUAUUUUGUCCGCUACACUAGACUGGAUGACCGAUUUUCAAACAAUGAAACGUCUAAAUUAACUUAAAUACAGCCACAAUGAAAUCAAAUGCACAUCUCUGCAUCAAGUUGAGCCGUUCCAAACAAGCCAUGAAGUGAUCUUCACAAAUGCAACUUGCAGUAAAGAACUGAUUUUUUUAUUUAUUCAUCUUUUUUUUGGUGCCACAUGCAAAGUCAAUUUCUGAAAAACUAGCUUCCACUCUUUUCUUCUUUUCUCCAUGAAAAUCAGUUUUCACAGUGAGGUUUUUAUCACAAAAGCCACUCUCCAAAACAAAAGUCGAUCACCUAACACAAGCUUCAUUUGCAUUCACAUGACUACUGAAUUAUUACAAAUUUAGUCCGAAGUAAGCUUCGAGCUAAGGUGAAGCACUCACUGAAGUCCAAUCACUCAUCCACCUGAAUAAAUAAGAUAGGAAAAAACCUAAUUUACCCUCUAAACAUAUAGAUCGAAUCAUCGAAGUUGUGUAAAUAGUAACGUUAUUAUCUUUUUUUAUGAGCUGCAUAUAUACUACUGAGUAUGAAUUUGCCGAAAUUUUACUACGAAUGAAGAGGAAACUCGUGUGAAUACUGAUGGUAUAAAAUGGGCCAAAUCUAUUCGACCCGUAUUUUACUUCCUAUAGGACAUUAUACAGGUAAAUACGAGACUUUAGUUUAGACUAAAAAGUACGAAACCUUUAUCACGAUAUAUUUGUUCUGACUAUUUCUCUUGGCUUACAAUUGGGACUCGGUACAUGUUUGAUAGGUAUUUUGAUAUUUUGACCGUUAGAGAUGAAGUGAAUCUCACCUGUUUGAGAAAAAUUCAAAAAUGACAAUCAUAAUAGUGAAAUAACAACUAAAAAAUUGAUUUUAAUUAACUUUUUAGCUGUACCAAACAAGCUCUCAAGAUGAGAACCAGAUAUAUCCACAAAUUGAAGUUGACACUGUUAUAAUGGAAUACAAGGUGUUGAUCAAACCUCAACAGGUCAGAUUUGAGCCAAAACCGAACCAAACCGACUUAGUCGGUUUAAGCAUUUUCUGAAAUGAAUCAAACCAGCUAGGUAACUGAAACCGACCCAAGAGAACCGAUUCGGGUUGGGUCGGGUGGCCGGUUAAAUAAAUUCACAAAUCCAAGCAGAUGCUAAGGAGGAGGUACCCAUCUGGACACCAAUACAUGGAUCUCCACCAUGCAGAGUGCCGCCAGCGGAAGGCUUUACAAGGACAACAAAGUACGACUCAGAUGGGAACCUACGAGUUUUAUAUGUCCUUAUGUAGAUCUAGGUGUGAAAGCCCCCUCUUACCUCAAGAAAUACAACUGAACGAAACAAAGAAAUCGGCAUAAUAGAAAAGUUGGCGAUAUUUAUCUUCUUUACAUUAAUAAGGAACGAGAAAGUAUUACAAAGAUAUAAUUCCAUUUUCGCGAGAAUAUCAUAAGUCUGAUAACAUAAGCAUGACUUAAUUAGGUAAAAAUAAUCCACUUAAAACUCUGUAAUCCAAAUAUUUCACGAAAUUACAUAAGCCAGAUGGUCCAGAAAACACUUACAAAACACCUGAAAUAUAAAUUCAAUGUUACUUGUACAUGGAUUCUAUCACUGCGUCAAAGAUUAAAUUAAACAUAAAAAUCCAU